CGCUAGAUUGGGGCGGUUAUUUUGCGGCGGUUUUAUAAAACCCCUUCAAAUUAGAAUAAAAAGGGACAUUUUCGGUUCAACGGGGAAAAUUUUAAACUGUUCAAGGGAGGUUUUAAACCCCCUUAAUUAGAUAAAUUUUGGCACCCUUUUCUAAUCAUUGCAAUGUUAUUUUAAUUGAUUUAUUAAAUUUUUUUGCGCCUAAUUAUAUCCAUUUAUAUAUGAAAUUAAUAAUAAAUAAGAAUUAGAAUAGUCAUCAAAGGGGUUUUUAUUCACGUGAAAGCUCCAAACCUAUCGCUGCUUCUCAAGAGACACAACCACCACUACGAUUCCAGCCCACCGCCGUUGGCUUUCCAUCGUUGUUUACUGCUCACAACAGCCGUCCUCUACUCUUCGGUCGUCUUUCUCGUUAAGGUUGUCUAAAUAUUUUUGUGGCAUCUCAUGGAUUUGGAGUUAUAUAUUUGGAAGUUUUGUGGAAUCUCGUGAAUUUCCAUGUAUUAAAGUAGCAAGUGGGAGAUGCAAAAAUAUGGAGAAUUAUGAGCCUUACUGCUGCUAGCAUCGCUUUGGUUCUUUAACUAUAGAAGUAUUGAUAGAGGAUUAACUACAGUGAAACUGGGGAAUUUUUCAAAGUUGGAAGAUGAUCUGAUUUUCAUUAUUUACCUUAUCGUCAGACUUUCAAAGUCAUUAAGAAUGUUGUUGGCUUUAGCUACCUUCUUCUCCAGAAUUGUACCAUGUGGCAUCGACAGAGGACGGUGAAAUACAUGUGAUAGAUGAUAUUGGAAGAUAAUUGUUGAGGAUGAGAAAGAGAAUAAGGGAACCAAUGUUGAUAUUUAGUCUUAAAAUGUGAAAGAGGCGUCAUAAGUGGAGUUGAAGUCAGUUUUCUAAUUUGAAUAAAAAUACUUGUGAUUUCAACUGUUGCAAGUUUGUUUCUACAUGUCUUCUCCUUAUUUUUUAAAAGUGGGGAGUAAUACUUGACUGUUAGGUGGACUAACUAUAAAAGAAAUAUGUGCAUAUGGAAUGUGUCAGGUAUUAAAUGGAAAAGUUGGCUAUUUUAUACGGGGAGAUCAAGUUCCAGUUUUCAAUCAAUUUUUCACUUCUUCAUAAUCAUCUUUAUGUGGGCAUCAAGUUCACAAGGGAGCUAUUAUUAAGGCAGACUGGAUCACUUAAAUGUUGUUGUCACUUAAAUGUUGUUGUGAGUUUGAUAUGUCAAAGUUUUGGUGUGUCAAAGUUAUACAGUAUUUUUAGUAUAUUUGUCUAGUUUUUAUAGAGUUGUGGAUUAUUUGUUUAAGUAAAUUUUGUGUUUUAAUUUUUUACUUAUUAUAUUAUUAAUAUAAAAAUUAUCCUGACUUUUUUAAAAAUUAAUAAAAA
This is a long non-coding RNA of Vicia villosa (hairy vetch), 1365 nucleotides long. RefSeq lists it as uncharacterized. The record is from RefSeq and is a predicted model, not a curated record. Lineage: Eukaryota; Viridiplantae; Streptophyta; Magnoliopsida; Fabales; Fabaceae. The transcript has 6 exons.